Long non-coding RNA from Pimephales promelas (fathead minnow), 600 nucleotides. RefSeq lists it as uncharacterized. The record is from RefSeq and is a predicted model, not a curated record. Lineage: Eukaryota; Metazoa; Chordata; Actinopteri; Cypriniformes; Leuciscidae.
AAGGACAGGAAGUUUUGUGAAGCUGCCGUCUCUUCAUUAUCGCAGCUCAGACCAGACCACUGCACCGAUAAAUGAGAGAAGUGCUGAGGUGCCUGUGCUCUAGAGGAUCAUGGUCUUCAGAUACCUCUAUCCAGUGGUCUUGAAGUCGUUCCUCCUGUAGAUCCGCAGGUUCAAACCCCUUCAGCUCCAGUCCACCACAGUCCAGCACCAGAUCACAGAGUGGACGUAACAACUGAGGACGGCUUUUAACUUUUGGCUGCUACAGGACUGAAUGUGACCCCUGGACCGGAUUACGCACAGGUACUCUGUUAAACUCUUCUAAACUAAUUUUUCUGUAAAGAUUUCACUGGAUUGAUUGUGGUGCUAACACCCUUGAUCUGUGCUUGAGGUGUGUGCCUCAGAAUCUCAGGGUGUAGUCAAUACUGAAUUUCCAGGCCGUAUCCAGAUCUGGCGAUGACCUUAGCCUGGACACGAUGACGAUGACAAUGCAGUGCUGAAGUGCCAACUAGCCUCUCCCUAUGGAGGAUCCCUUUCCCACUCUACAGAUUAAGCGAUGUGAAUUCGUUUCGCGUCCCUACCCUGAAGUGAUUAGAAAAUCUG